GAUGAACGCUAGCUACAGGCUUAACACAUGCAAGUCGAGGGGCAGCAUGGUCUUAGCUUGCUAAGGCCGAUGGCGACCGGCGCACGGGUGAGUAACACGUAUCCAACCUGCCGUCUACUCUUGGACAGCCUUCUGAAAGGAAGAUUAAUACAAGAUGGCAUCAUGAGUCCGCAUGUUCACAUGAUUAAAGGUAUUCCGGUAGACGAUGGGGAUGCGUUCCAUUAGAUUGUAGGCGGGGUAACGGCCCACCUAGUCUUCGAUGGAUAGGGGUUCUGAGAGGAAGGUCCCCCACAUUGGAACUGAGACACGGUCCAAACUCCUACGGGAGGCAGCAGUGAGGAAUAUUGGUCAAUGGGCGAGAGCCUGAACCAGCCAAGUAGCGUGAAGGAUGACUGCCCUAUGGGUUGUAAACUUCUUUUAUAAAGGAAUAAAGUCGGGUAUGGAUACCCGUUUGCAUGUACUUUAUGAAUAAGGAUCGGCUAACUCCGUG
RNAcentral lists this ribosomal RNA (490 nucleotides) under uncultured bacterium. RNAcentral's name for it is "partial 16S ribosomal RNA". It matches the Rfam family "Bacterial small subunit ribosomal RNA", at positions 28 to 507 of the family's 1533-position model. The record is from RNAcentral.